UACGUAGGGUGCAGGCGUUAAUCGGAAUUACUGGGCGUAAAGCGUGCGCAGGCGGUCGAUCAAGUCGCGUGUGAAAGCCCCCGGCUCAACUGGGGAGGGUCACGCGAUACUGAUCGACUCGAAGGCAGGAGAGGGUAGUGGAAUUCCCGGUGUAGUGGUGAAAUGCGUAGAUAUCGGGAGGAACACCAGUGGCGAAGGCGACUACCUGGCCUGUUCUUGACGCUGAGGCGCGAAAGCUAGGGGAGCAAACGGG
RNAcentral lists this ribosomal RNA (253 nucleotides) under uncultured bacterium. RNAcentral's name for it is "partial 16S ribosomal RNA". It matches the Rfam family "Bacterial small subunit ribosomal RNA", at positions 524 to 776 of the family's 1533-position model. The record is from RNAcentral.